CGUAGGUGCGAGCGUUAAUCGGAAUUACUGGGCGUAAAGCGUGCGCAGGCGGUGAUGUAAGACAGUUGUGAAAUCCCCGGGCUCAACCUGGGAACUGCAUCUGUGACUGCAUUGCUGGAGUGCGGCAGAGGGGGAUGGAAUUCCGCGUGUAGCAGUGAAAUGCGUAGAUAUGCGGAGGACACCGAUGGCGAAGGCAAUCCCCUGGGCCUGCACUGACGCUCAUGCACGAAAGCGUGGGGAGCAAACAGGAUU
RNAcentral lists this ribosomal RNA (252 nucleotides) under uncultured bacterium. Its description in RNAcentral is "partial 16S ribosomal RNA". It matches the Rfam family "Bacterial small subunit ribosomal RNA", at positions 526 to 779 of the family's 1533-position model. The record is from RNAcentral.